This 569-nucleotide ribosomal RNA is filed under the name uncultured Pezizomycotina. RNAcentral describes it as "SSU rRNA". It matches the Rfam family "Eukaryotic small subunit ribosomal RNA", at positions 185 to 761 of the family's 1831-position model. Lineage: Eukaryota; Fungi; Ascomycota. The record is from RNAcentral.
GCCCUUGGAAGGGAUGUAUUUAUUAGAUUAAAAACCAAUGCCCUUCGGGGCUCACUGGUGAUUCAUGAUAACUCCUCGAAUCGCAUGGCCUUGUGCCGGCGAUGGUUCAUUCAAAUUUCUUCCCUAUCAACUUUCGAUGUUUGGGUAUUGGCCAAACAUGGCUGCAACGGGUAACGGAGGGUUAGGGCUCGACCCCGGAGAAGGAGCCUGAGAAACGGCUACUACAUCCAAGGAAGGCAGCAGGCGCGCAAAUUACCCAAUCCCGACACGGGGAGGUAGUGACAAUAAAUACUGAUACAGGGCUCUUUUGGGUCUUGUAAUUGGAAUGAGUACAAUUUAAAUCCCUUAACGAGGAACAAUUGGAGGGCAAGUCUGGUGCCAGCAGCCGCGGUAAUUCCAGCUCCAAUAGCGUAUAUUAAAGUUGUUGUGGUUAAAAAGCUCGUAGUUGAACCUUGGGCCUGGCUGGCCGGUCCGCCUCACCGCGUGUACUGGUCCGGCCGGGCCUUUCCCUCUGUGGAACCCCAUGCCCUUCACUGGGUGUGGCGGGGAACCAGGACUUUUACAAGGGC